AUUGAACGCUGGCGGCAUGCCUUACACAUGCAAGUCGAACGGCAGCGGGCCCUUCGGGGUGCCGGCGAGUGGCGAACGGGUGAGUAAUGCAUCGGAACUUACCCGGGAGAGGGGGAUAACCGGCCGAAAGGCUGGCUAAUACCGCAUGAAAUCGGGAGAGCAAAGCGGGGGACCUUCGGGCCUCGCGCUCGCGGAGGGGCCGAUGGCCGGUUAGGCUAGUUGGUGGUGUAAGGGCCCACCAAGGCGACGAGCGGGAGCGGGUCUGGGAGGACGAUCCGCCACACUGGGACUUAGACACGGCCCAGACUCCUACGGGAGGCAGCAGUGGGGAAUCUUGGACAAUGGGCGCAAGCCUGAUCCAGCAAUGCCGCGUGGGUGAAGAAGGCCUUCGGGUUGUAGAGCCCUUUCGGCGGGGAAGAAAUCGGUCAGGCGAAUAGUCUGGCAGGAUGACGGUACCCGCAGAAGAAGCACCGGCUAACUACGUG
RNAcentral lists this ribosomal RNA (485 nucleotides) under uncultured bacterium. RNAcentral's name for it is "partial 16S ribosomal RNA". It matches the Rfam family "Bacterial small subunit ribosomal RNA", at positions 28 to 507 of the family's 1533-position model. The record is from RNAcentral.